This 73-nucleotide transfer RNA is filed under the name Adelastes hylonomos (Neblina frog). RNAcentral's name for it is "tRNA-Leu". Lineage: Eukaryota; Metazoa; Chordata; Amphibia; Anura; Microhylidae. The record is from RNAcentral.
GCUCUUAAAGGAAAACAGCUAUUCCCCUGGUCUUAGGCUCCAGAAACUCUUGGUGCAAUUCCAAGUAAGAGCU